RNAcentral lists this ribosomal RNA (498 nucleotides) under uncultured bacterium. RNAcentral's name for it is "partial 16S ribosomal RNA". It matches the Rfam family "Bacterial small subunit ribosomal RNA", at positions 29 to 523 of the family's 1533-position model. The record is from RNAcentral.
AUUGAACGCUGGCGGCAUGCCUUACACAUGCAAGUCGAACGGUAACGGGCCUUCGGGUGCCGACGAGUGGCGAACGGGUGAGUAAUGCAUCGGAACGUACCCAUCAGUGGGGGAUAACUCUCCGAAAGGAGGGCUAAUACCGCAUAUUCUGUGCGCAGGAAAGCGGGGGACCGCAAGGCCUCGCGCUGAUGGAGCGGCCGAUGUCAGAUUAGCUAGUUGGUGGGGUAGAGGCCUACCAAGGCGACGAUCUGUAGCGGGUCUGAGAGGAUGAUCCGCCACACUGGGACUGAGACACGGCCCAGACUCCUACGGGAGGCAGCAGUGGGGAAUUUUGGACAAUGGGGGCAACCCUGAUCCAGCCAUGCCGCGUGAGUGAAGAAGGCCUUCGGGUUGUAAAGCUCUUUCGGCCGGGAAGAAAUCGCAUCUCCUAAUACGGGGUGUGGAUGACGGUACCGGAAUAAGAAGCACCGGCUAACUACGUGCCAGCCGCCGCGGUAA